Long non-coding RNA from Gopherus evgoodei (Goodes thornscrub tortoise), 1932 nucleotides. RefSeq lists it as uncharacterized. The record is from RefSeq and is a predicted model, not a curated record. The transcript is spliced from 2 exons. NCBI's taxonomy places the organism in Eukaryota, Metazoa, Chordata, Testudines, Testudinidae.
UGUACCUGUGUGUCUGUGUACCUGUGUGCAUGUGUGUGUGCGCGUAUACUUCUGUGUGUGUGUGUGUGUUUGUAUAUUUUUCUCCAAGCGGUUGUGGUUUUUAUUGUAAUGCGUUUGGCAUUUAAACUUUGGAUAAAUGAUUUUAAUAAAGCCGGAAGCGCGGUGUCUGGAGGGUUGCUUUGGGCGUCCCCUGAGACUGGGGCCCCAGUGGGCUGGGUGCGGGGCCCUGCCAUGCUGAGGGCUGCCUGACCCCCCUGGCUGAGAUCGGGGGACCCUGUUGGGCCGGGUGCUGCAUGGACCCAGUGAGAGACAGUCCCUGCCCCCAAAGAGCUCCUCGUUUAAACAGAUAAAAGCAGGUGGGGAAACACGGUCAGAGAAAUGAAGAGACCCGGUAAGGUCGCAGGCUGUUUGUGGCAGAGCUGCAGAGGGAACCCAGGAGUCCUGGCUCCCAACCCCGCCCCUGCUCUAACUCACUAGGGCCCACUCCCCUCCCAGAGCUGGAAAGAGAACUCAGGAGUCCUGGCUCCCAGGAUCUAACCCUGACUCAUACGUGCUACUUUAAGUGCUUGGACUACAGGGUAGGAGAUCCCAGGUGCUUCAUAGUCUCUGCAGGGUGACCAGUGCUAGCCCUGGGGCAAGGAGAUUGAGCGGGGGGGAUUGGAAGCGGCGUGUGGGGGUCUCUAGAGGGGACAUGGAUGGCAGGAUUCCCAGGGCUGAUGGAGUGAGCAGUUCCCCCACUGGAUCCUAGUGACAAAGGGGACAGGGGAACUACCCAAAGAGGUUUGAGUGCUCCGGGUUCGGCCUGCCGCUUGCACAGCUGCCUCCUGUUCAUUGCCGCAGGCUCCACCCAAGAGCUGGCUGCAUCUCAGCGCUGGACAAGCUGUUCCCGGGCAGCGUUCAAUGCGGCUGUUCCCAAGGUGCCCCACCCCAGAGCUGGUUGCGUCUCAGCACUGGGCAAGCUGUUCCUGGGCAGUAUUCUAUGCGGCUGUUCCCAAGGGAUCAGGGCAGGGCUGUGGGCAGGGUCUGGAUAGAGAGGGUGUGUCUGUGGGAUCAGAGUGGGGCUGUGGGCGGGGUCAGGGCAGAGGGGCAUGUCUCGGAUUCGGGUGGGGCUGUGGGUGGGGUCAGGACAGAGGGCGUGUCUCUGGGAUCAGGGGGCAGGGCUGUGGGUUGUUCACUCCUCCUGCUCUGGGAUAGGGGAAGUGUCUCUGGGGCAGGGGUCCCUUCCCCUGGUGCAGAGACCUCCCCCCUCACCCCCUUACAGCUCUGCCCCUCAUCACCCUGGACCUGGCCACCAACCACCCCAACCUGCUGCUGUCCCCCGACCUGCCCGCCGUCCAGCUGGUGGACGAGCCCCAGGAGGACGGGCCCGAACGCUUCAGCAAGAGCGUGUGCAUGACGGGCUCGGCCGGGUUCACCCAGGGCCACCCAGAGGAUUCAGGGGCCUGGGCCAAAGCCAUUUCGGGGACACCUUCCAUGAAAAAAAACCGGGGGGCGCGUUUCCGUUCUGCAAACCCUCUGCAUGGGGACCUCCCCCCUCCCAGACUUGGGGAUGCUGAAGAACUUUGAACAAAUGAUUUUCGAGAUUUUGCUGCCGGAUCUUUUUUCUCUUUCAUGUUAUUUGCACCGGAGAAUAAAACCCAGCUUCGCUGCCAGGCGGAAAGGCUUCUCUCCAGCGCUUCACUUUAACAGGAAAAAGGGGAAUUCUCAGCUGAAAACUUGGUCGUGACGAAGAAAUUCAAUAUCUCGUUAACAGCCGCCUUCAGAUACGUGGCUGCCGGUUAGAUUUCAGUUCAGUUGUGUUUGGGCCGAUGAAGACAGACCCUCUUUGUGUUUCGGAAGAGAGAUUUUCAGAAGAAUGUGCACUUCGGCAAAUAUUUAGAAGUUCGGCGACAAACACCUAUGUUAAGGCGAAGUGAAAGAUGCGAAUGUGUA